Molecule: long non-coding RNA, 2577 nt
Filed under: Felis catus (domestic cat)
Lineage: Eukaryota; Metazoa; Chordata; Mammalia; Carnivora; Felidae
Description: cytochrome P450 family 1 subfamily A member 1 (ENSFCAG00000002016.5)
Source: RNAcentral
GAAGGUGACAGGUCUAGGAGUCUCCCCUGAUCUUCUUUGGGGUCCUGGCUUAAGAGACCACGUAUCUCAGCUGAGUUCAGUACUCCUCACAGCCACAGCCAUCUUGAGAUCUCUACACUGAUGAUGUUGUCUGUGUUUGGACUCUCCGUCCCCAUCUCGGCCACAGAGCUUCUCCUGGCCUCCUUUGUCUUCUGCCUGGUGUUCUGGGUGGUCAGGGCCUGGCAGCCUCGGGUUCCCAAAGGCCUGAAGAGUCCACCAGGGCCCUGGGGCUGGCCUCUGCUCGGGCAUGUGCUGACCUUGGGGAAGAACCCACAUCUGGUGCUGGCAAGGCUGAGCCAGCAUUACGGGGACGUGCUGCAAAUCCGCAUCGGCUCCACACCCGUGCUGGUGCUCAGCGGCCUGGACACCAUCCGGCAGGCUCUGGUGCGUCAGGGUGAUGAUUUCAAGGGGCGGCCCAAUCUCUACAGCUUCACUCUGAUCUCUGAGGGCCAAAGCAUGUCCUUCAGCCCAGACUCUGGACCGGUGUGGGCCGCCCGCAGGCGCCUGGCCCAGAACGCCCUGAAGAGUUUCUCCAUUGCCUCAGACCCGGCUUCCUCAUCCUCCUGCUACCUGGAAGACCAUGUGAGCAAGGAGGCUGAGUACCUCAUUGGCAAGUUCCAGGAGCUGAUGGCAAAAGUUGGGCACUUUGACCCCUAUAGAUAUGUAGUGGUGUCAGUGGCCAAUGUCAUCUGCGCCAUGUGUUUUGGCCGGCGCUAUGACCAUGAUGACCAAGAGCUGCUUAGCAUAGUCAACCUGAGUAAUGAGUUCGGGGAUGGCACUGCCUCUGGGAACCCUGUGGACUUCUUCCCCAUCCUUCGAUACCUACCCAACCCUGCCCUGGAUUUCUUCAAGGAUGUGAAUGAGAAGUUCUCCAUCUUCAUUCAUAAGAUGGUCAAGGAACACUACAAAACUUUUGAGAAGGGUCACAUUCGGGAUAUCACAGACAGCCUGAUUGAGCACUGUCAGGACAAGAGGCUGGACGAGAAUGCGAAUAUCCAGCUGUCCGACGAGAAGAUUGUUAACGUUGUCUCGGACCUCUUCGGAGCUGGAUUUGACACAGUCACAACUGCCAUCUCCUGGUGCCUCAUGUACCUGGUGACGAGCCCCAAUGUACAGGAAAAGAUCCAGAAGGAGCUGGACACAGUGAUUGGGAGGGAGCGGCAGCCCCGGCUCUCUGACAGACUCCAGCUGCCCUACAUGGAAGCAUUCAUCCUGGAGAUGUUCCGACAUACCUCCUUCGUCCCUUUCACUAUCCCCCAUAGUACCACAAAAGACACAAGUCUGAGUGGCUUUUACAUCCCCAAGGAGCGUUGUGUCUUUGUGAACCAGUGGCAGAUCAACCAUGACCAGAAGCUAUGGGGUGACCCAUCUGAGUUCCGACCAGAACGAUUUCUCACUCCUGAUGGCACCAUCAACAAGGCACUGAGUGAGAAGGUGAUUCUCUUUGGUUUGGGCAAGAGGAAGUGCAUCGGUGAGACCAUUGCCCGCUUGGAGGUCUUUCUCUUCCUGGCCAUCCUGCUGCAGCAGGUGGAAUUCAGUGUGCCACAGGGCACGAAGGUGGAUAUGACCCCUAUUUAUGGGCUGACCAUGAAGCAUGCCCGCUGUGAGCACUUCCAAGUGCGGAUGCGCACUUAGGGGUCUGAGAGCCCUGCAGCUUAGACUCUAUCUACCUGGCCUGUCUGGGCAGCCAGGCCAGGGGGCUGACCUGGGGUCUGGGGGGGGGGGGCGGUCUAAACCUUGGCCUGAAACCCACAGAUAUUGGUCUGGCUGAGUUUUGCUGUCUGGGCUGCAGGCAAGCAUGAAGGAUCAUGCCUGCCCCCCACCCUGGACUUGCUCCUUUGCAUAUUGACCACAGACAAUGGACACAGCAGGGGCCAAAAAAGGAGCAGAUGGAGCCUUCCAGAGUUGUGCUUGAGGCAGGAGGCUUGGUAGGGUUAGGAGCCCCUCAGGCCCCUGGAGACCUUGAGGGAAUUCUCUAGAAGCCUCUAAACCCAGUGGCUGGCUGGCUUUCUGUGGGGACUGACUGGUUUGAGAAACAUUUAGAUCAGGCCACAUCAGGGCCUGUCUAAUCUCUUUGACAAUUGGGAGCUGCCAAGAGUGAAGGGAAGAGGGAGCUUAGGCACAGAGGUGGUCUCCCAGAUUGAAUAAGGCUGAGCAGUCUAACCACAUGGGUCUGGGACACUGCGAUGCCUUCUUCUGUUCUCCCUGCAGGCAGGAACAGGGCUGCAUCCUGGCCUCGCAAGGACCCUGUUCCUGUCCAGGAGGGGCUGGGGGCUUGUGCCUAAGAGGAGCAGAGAACAGAGGGAGUGCCCAGAUUCAGGCACCUGAGUCAGGUCUCUAUGCCCAAUAUUAAAAUGCCUUUAAAAAAUGUUUAUAUGCAAGAAGUUUUAUAUUUUAGCCUGCAUUGUACUGGCAUGCCUUCAUUUAUCAUACGUAAGAGCUUAAGAACAAUUUAUUGAGUGCAAUAGAGAACAUUGUAACCCAAGUAUCCAGAAAUGUGUAAGAAAUUUCUACUUAAGCUAAAUAAAGAUAUUAUCC